RNAcentral lists this long non-coding RNA (19094 nucleotides) under Citrus sinensis (sweet orange). RNAcentral describes it as "long non-coding RNA (CSIN_LNC004872)". Lineage: Eukaryota; Viridiplantae; Streptophyta; Magnoliopsida; Sapindales; Rutaceae. The record is from RNAcentral.
UUUUUUUUUUUUUUCGCUCUGCAACCAAUAAAGGUGAGUGGCAGAAGCACCACAAUCUUUUCUGGAACAGAAAGAAAACCUCUGCAUCGAUCUAAUCUUAGAUUUACCAUUCUAGAGUGAGAGAUAAGGAGAGGUCGAUUUUUCUUACUUAGUCUUUCCAAAUGAACUUAAACUGUUGUUACUCAUGCAUAAAAAUAUAUCCCGAGAGUUUGGUCGGGUUAAGAAAUUAAUUUUGAUUUUGUCCACCUCUCUAUCUUUUUUAAAAAAUAUAAUAGAAUCUAAUAAAGAAAAAGAAUAUACUAUAAUCGAUUAAAAAAAAGUAAUAGAAUCUAUGAAAAAAAAAAAAAGAUUGUAGAUUCUGUUAUUAGAAAAAACGAUAGUGUAACUAAUAGUGAAGGUGUAUAUUGCCCGGUAGUUUCACACACCUUAACACGAACAACGUUACACACACAUAAAUCAAGUAAUUAAUAUUAUUGAUUUUCAUUAUUCAUUAUUCACAUACAUAUCAUUUUUUGCUACUAAGUAAUCAACCAAAUUAUAUCUAUUUUAUUUGGUCCACAAGACGUUUCAACUAAUUAUGUAAUUAAUUGCAUUAACAAAAUUCUUCAAUAUUUGACCAAUAACCCACUUAAUUGUUUGGCAAUACACACACACAUAUGUGUAUAUAUAUAUAACCGCAUGGUUUUAAAGACUUAAAACUAUAAGCCUUUAAAACUGUGUAGUUUUAAAUUUUUUCCGGAUUUUCCCGCACUUUAAAAUCCAUGACCAGAAAGCUACUAUAUAUAUAUGUGUGUGUGUGUGUGUCUAGUAAUUAUUAAAUACAAUGUAAAAAUAGUAAUCGAUAAUAAUUUAGUAAUAAUGAAAAAUAAAAUAAAAACAUUUAACAGAAUUAUGAGAUCCACUGCAAAAAGGUUAUAUUUUUCACUCUUAUUAUUCAAUGUAACUCAAAGACCCAAUGUAGCUUAAAGAGAUUUCUUACAUAUUUGUUUUCCAUAUAUAAUAAGUAUUAACAUACUUGUCAUAUUUACACGAUUUUCUCGAUCAUCUUUUGAUUCUUCGAGAUCUAUCAUAUGAUUCCCAUCAAACAUAUCCCAACGUACAUACCUGAGCUCAAUUGAUUUGUCACAAGUGUAUGAUUAAUAUAUAUUCGUUGUUAUUUUCUAUCUCAUUAUUUAUCAAUCACCAUCAUGUAUUAAUUUUCUCUAUUAACUAAAAGCUCAUCAUCGCAUGGGAGCAUGGUAAGUUACAGAUUCUGUAACUUACAGCCCACCAAUUUUAAGAAGCACUGCUGGCCACCAUUUACAAGGUUUUGGUCCCACUUUUUUUGCCUAUACUUGCACAAAAUGGGUUGGCUGUAAGUUACAGAUUCUGUAACUUAGCCACACCCCAUGGCAUGUAGCUUUUUGUGCUAACAAAUUUGAAAGCAUAGCAUUAACAGUAAUAUAGACGAAAAGGCUGGUCACUAAAACGGUGCCGGAUGCCCUAGUAAGGACUGUUGGUACCAAAGAAGAAAAAAACAUCAUGAAAGUUAUUAGACACCCUUUGUCGGUUUCCCUCAUGGGAAAUUUUGCUUUUGUUCAAAUUUGAUUAACACUUGUUAAUUAACAAGAGGAAGCUUCUUUAUCAAUCCUCCUGUGUAUAAUGUUCAAAUUAACUUUUUGCUUUCAUUUGUUUACUGUAUGUAUUAUAAUAUCUUUCCCCGAAACCCUAAAUCUUUAUUAGCUUUGAUCGGGAUUAUAUUAAUAAAUAUGAGUAAUUAUUUUGUAAUCUUUAUUUAGUUUGAGUUUUCCAAUGGUUUUGUCUGCAAUGAUGAGAAUUCUAACUAACUUGGAGCAACUAACCAAAAAAAAAAAAGGCUUAACUCUUAACUGUAUUUCGAAAAGAUUACUGCAUUAGAAAUAGUAAUAGUAACCUUGAGGAAUGUUGACUCGCCAACCCAAGUAACCGAUAUUUUGCUUACUUCGAUUUUUGUCUCUUCUCUUUUAUUUUAAACUAAAACCUUCUUCUUCUUCUUCUUCUUCUUCUUCUUCUUCUUCUUCUUCUUCUUCUUCUUCUUUAAAUGAAUGACUCAUUUAAUAUGUUUAUAUGUUUGCAUAAAUUAAAUGAGACGAUGUUCCGGUGUUUUACGAAAGACAUGCAUGCUGCGUGUGUAACAAGCUAGCUAUUGUAGCCUAUUUUCUCCUGGAAAAUUGAACUACAUAUAAUAAUAAUAGCAAUAAUAAUAGCAAUAAUAAUAAUAAUAGUAGUAGUAGUAGUAAUAGUAGUAAAGUGAGCAAUUGUUUAACCGAUCUUGAAUUAAAUCGAACUGUUUAAAUGAAGUUCAAUUUGUCAAUUUUAUUUUGAUUUUUUUAUAAGGAAAAAAUAGCGAAGCCCCCUAUUGUGUCAUUCAAUUCUUUAAUGCAGUUCAAUUUAUUUAUUUUGCAUUUAAUUUUUCAAUUAAUUCUGAAAAUUUUUAGGAAUAAAUUGGAAAAUUAUAACAAUUCCCUUACUUUUUUUUUAAUAAUUUCCAUAUAUAUUUUUAAUUAAAUAUAUUCAUUUUUCCAACAUUAGACAAUCACUAAUUAUAAAAGUGUAAGAUAAAAAAAAAAAAAAAAAAAAAAGGNNNNNNNNNNNNNNNNNNNNNNNNNNNNNNNNNNNNNNNNNNNNNNNNNNNNNNNNNNNNNNNNNNNNNNNNNNNNNNNNNNNNNNNNNNNNNNNNNNNNNNNAAAAAAAAAAAAAAAAAAAAAAAAAAGGUUGAUAUGAGAGGGGUUUCAAUGGGAGCUUCGCUCUUUCUCCUUUUUGUGUAGUGACACAGACUGAAUAGAGAACCCUACUGUUUUGGGCAACAAUGCCCGCCCCUACGAAAAUCAAUAAAAACUUUUUCUGUUUAAUCAAAUGAUUUUGAUGCUCGCAUUGUGUAGUUUCAUACGAUAUGCUUUUCCUUUAAAGAGAAAAUUGAAAUAAUAUACAAACAAUGUUGUUUCUAGUGCGAGACCAUUGCAUGCAGCUGUGACUCAUCUCAUGUAAAAUACUUUAUGCAUGAUAAAGGAUUGAAACUAAAAAUUAAACCUAAAAGGAAAAGGAGCAUGAGAAUGACCAGAGAUGUAUGUCUUGUGAGAAUGAAGCAGAUACAUAUAAAGCAAUGGCAUCGAGAAUAUAUUUGAGUUCUAUAUAUACAGAUCAAACGAUACGGAUAUGAAUUAUCACUUCAAAUCAAUAUAGCUUCAUGAAUCAUUUUGCAAGAAAGCAGAAAGAUUUGACAAGUAUCGUCAUAUAUAAAAUAAAGUACAGAUUUACUGUUUAAGUAGCAGUUCAAUAGAUAAAGUUUUUGCCAUGCAUGCACGGCAUUAUGUCAUAGCUGUGAGGAAACCCUAAAGUAAUUAAAUUGCUAAUCUUCAAGACCUAAUUAAAACCCUAAUUCUCUCAUACUUGGGAACUUAAAUAAUUAAUUUAUAUUAGGUCCCUUAAAAAUAAUAUCUACGUUAGAAGAACAUUAAUUCACCCGUAUGGUGAAUUUCUUCCUUGUUGCAUGCCACCAGUAUUCAUCAUAGCUGGGUUCAUCCGCUCCGUUGAAAUUGGUGUUCUUCGCGGCGAUGGCCUUUCAAGCUUCGCUGAUGAUGCUUCAAAUUUCUUCUCACUACUCACGGCAUCUCCAGAGAGCACCGGCUUUGUUUCAUAAAUAUCUGAGAUUGAAUCCAAAUCAUUUGAUGGCGGUGCAAUCUGAAUCUGGUCACCCUUGAAAGGAUCAUCUUGAGGUCCAAUGCACGGCGCCGUGGCCAAAUCUUGUAACCUCAGAUCAUCAGACCACAUCAAAGGGCUCUUGCCAGUGCCACUACCCCCAUUAUAAGGACUAGGCCUCUUCUUCCCGAGGCAAAUAUUAUCAUUACUCUGCAUGAAUCCAUGAUCUAGUGAUGAUUGCCUGUCCAUAUUUUGUUGGAGAUGAUCAAUUUGGUCACCUCCAUAUAGAUUAAGGUCUUGAAAUUGUGAAAAAUUAAGAGGAGGACAAAAAUCUUUCAUGGUUCCCACGUCGGGAACUGCCUGAUUUCCAAUAGUGCCCUUAAAACUUGCCGGUGUCACGGUUUCGCCAGAUGCUAGGGUUUGACAAGCUUUCUCCAAGAUUGACUGCAUAUAUUUUCCUUGAGCCUCAAUCCUUAACUGAAGGUGUCUUUGCACCUGCACGAGUAUAUAUGUCAAGUGCUUAAAGGAUUUGUUCUUAAUUUGAAGAUCCAAGAUGUACAAAUUUUAAUUAUUUACUUAAUUACCUCGAGCUGUUCGUGAAGUCUUCUCUGCACCUCCAUUUGCAUCCUAAUCGCAUCAACCAUGUGUGAGUUACUGUUAAAUACAGCCACACACACACAUUCCACAAGAAAUUAUCGGAACACCACACCCCAAAAAAUAAAAAAUGAAAAACAAAACUUAGGUGAUUAAUUCUUGUUAUUAUCGUUCGUCAAAACCAUCUAUCUAUAUUACAUGUGCUUGCUUCUUAAUUACUAGCUAGAUGGGACAUUUAAAAAAAAAAAAAGGUUUAAAAAUUGUAGGUAGCAGCACAUACUCAUUCAUGCUGCGACCGAUCACGCCAGAUGAAGAUGCAGUGUUUCGUUGAAGAUCUAAGCCUGAAGUUGGAAUGCAUAAAAAAAAAUUUUAAUUUUAUAAAAAAAAAUUGUUAAUAGUUAAUAGCUAAAUUAUUGGUAAAAGAAAGAAGGUCAUUAAAAGAAUAAAUGGGGAUAAUUCAUUAAAACCCUAGAAAGAAAGUAACCUCUCCUCUCUCCAGCUAGCUUACCGUCCUUUAUGGAGUGAUCAUUGAAUUCCUUGUGAGGUUGCUUGCCUAGCCUGAAUUUCUAAUUAAACCAAUAGAGGAGAAAUUAAAAUAAUAAUCAAAAGAAGAAGAAAAAGAAAAAGAAGAAGCCGCUGAUAUCGAAAACACGACCAAGUGGUAUUAAUUAGAUCAAAAGCAAAUUCAAAAAAGAUGUGCAUGCAAGAAAUAUUAAUUGUUCCAUUCAAACCUGAAGAUGGCUUUUUAGGUGGUAAAGCGUAAGCCCCUUCACACCCAUAACUCUCAUGAUAGUUUUUGGUGUGGCCUCUGAAAAUUCAUUACCAAUUAAACCAAUACAGAUUAACAUUAACAAGCGAAAAAGAUGAUUGAAAGAGAGGAGAAGUAUUGUAGUUGAAAAAUUAAUUAAAGAGAGUGAUAAAUUAAAAGAUUUAGUUUGAAGUAUUUACUAUCUGGUCCUCCAAGCUGAGUGACAGCAUCAACAAAGCGUUCAUGGAGCUCGACGGUCCAACGGAGACGAGGCUUAGGGUCAGUGGUGAGGACAAGGCCAGAAUCACCUUGAACACACAAGGGCCUAUCAUGAUGGGAAUUCAUAGAAGAGGGCUUCUUGUGGUGUUGGAACAUUAUUCUCUUUCUCUCUCUAAGAGGGGACUUGGAGAAUACAAAGAGAUUCAAGAACAAAUGCGAUGCAAAUAGAGGAGAAUAGGGUGCGUUUUUUAAGACGAGCUAGCUAGCUAAUGGCUUUGGUCAAGUUGAACGUAUAAGGUACAAGCCAACCUUGCAUAAAGGAAAAUGUAACACUUACAAUUUAUUUUAUAUAAUAAUAAUAAUCAACAAUUGAAAUAAAGUGCACCUAUUCUAAUAUGCAGCAGCCAUUCCUUUGCCAAAAAGAUUCUUUCUCUCUCUCUCUCUUCGAUAUACACACAUAUCAUAAUUCUAAGAUGUAACGUACUCAACAUACCGACAUGUAUCUCUGACAAUUUACAGAAACGAAAUAUCUCUAAUCACAUUUUCAUAGAGCAAACAAUUUUUUUUGGGGGUGGGGGGAGAUCAGGAUCUCUGCAUUGUAAUAAUAUUAAUGUACAUAUCUGUAAUGUCUGAGAGUAAUGUAUCUUUUUCCAUCACCUAAAGUAGAGUAUAUCUUUAUAGUUUUGUUCUUCUACCAUGUGAAACUUUUUAAUAAGCAUAAGAUAUGAUGAGUGAGACCCAUCAAGCAAUGAUGAUGGACUAUAUGUUACACUUUACUCUUCUUUCCUUGAACCGUUCUCUUCAAUAUAAGCAGUUAUAAAACAUAUAAAUAUAAUCUAGCCAUUAUAUAUGUGCAUCAUUAGAGAAUAGUACAAUCACCUUUUUAGCUUAUCAUGAACUAAUAACUCUCUCAGCUAUGAUGGUUAGAAGCACGAAGACUUUCUUUAUGUCAUUACCAAGAAAAAGGUUUCCUUGAUACUUGACAGGAUAGAAAAAAAUUCAUAAUAUUAUGAAAAAUGUAUCUGAUAUUAUGAUUAAAGAUUCUAUUAUUCUAUUAUUAGAUAUUAGAUUCAUGGCCAUUCUCAUGUUUGCUAUACAUAUUAAAUUGAUAAUAAAUCUCUUUCUCGUUCUAGCAUUUUGGUAAAUUAAUGAGGUCUUAUGUGAGUUAGAGGUUUAGUAACCAUAUCCAAAACUUUCUGGGAUGAAUCCCAUGGAAUCAAGUAUUCCCCAUUGCCACAUUAUGUGAUAUACUUAUGCAUGCCUUUAUUAUCAACAAAGUAUGGAUAAGAAACCAACAAGCGUGUAUAUCAGCUGACAUGGGGCUGUUUUAGUUUAACCAAGGUUCUCGGUUCGAGACUUGAGAAUGCAGCUACGUUAAAUACUUGUUGGGAGAACUUUGCCGCCCUAAUAGUUCUACUCAGCUCGAAUCUGGAUUAGUCAAGACCUAAUGUGGUCUUCGUAUACGAGAUAGUUUAAUAUACCAAAAAAAAAGUAUGGAUAAGAAUUUGAAAUUGAGCUUACAAGACAAAUAAUCAAAAUCUUUUUGGAUAAUAGGUGUGAAAUUAAGGCACUAGGCAACAUGAGAUGCAAGCAACUUUAGGGGUCUAUGUGGUUCUUAUUAUGUGAAUUUGUGAACAUCAAUGCAUAAAGGGCAACGAAUGUGGAGCUUUUGAUAAUAUGAGCAAGGGGACCUCUCAUUUUCUAAAGCUUCUUGGGACUCAACUUCUCAUAUCUUUUGUCGUUUUGAAGAUUGUCUUCUCAUCCAAACCAAUAUUAACGACAAAUAUCUAUUAAAUAAAUGACUUGAAUAGGUCAAACUCAACAUAUUGAGAAUGGACCCACUCUUAGUAAAAAAAAGAAGUGAAUGAAGAUGAGUAAAGAACAUUAUAAAGCUCUCCACAUCUCUCCUUUUUAAAGCUCAUGCAAGAUGUCAAAUCUAGCGGGAGAUGAUAAAAAAAAUUUAAAAAAUAAAAAAUUUGUGUGCUAUUUACCAAAAUCUAAAUGGGAAUAAAUGCUUUCUUCUUUGACAAUUAAAGGAGGAUUCUUCUUUGUAACCAUCUAAUUCACGACUUAUUCCAUUCUUGGAUCCGUUAUUGGCUAGGAUUAUGAUUUUUUGGCUAUGUAGUUUAAUUUUCUAAACAAUUCACAUAACAUUGCCACUCAUCAAUCUAAAUCAAGCCAAUGCAUAUAUGCAUGGUAUGUGAGAAUAAAAGAUUUACAAUGGAAGAUUGCUAAUUUCCCCCUAUUGUAAUCUAUAUAUAUCAUUGAUCCCAUUAACGUUUUUAGAACAACCAAUAACUGUUUAAUUUAGCAUGAAAAUUUUAAAGGAAAAGAAGCGUAAAUAUGUCAUUGCUUGGUAUUUUAUCUUGGGAAUAUAAAGUAUAUAUUUAUACAAGGAAAAAUAUUUAAAUAUAACAAAAAAAGUAUAAGAAAAAUAUCUUAUUAUCAAUUUUUUAUUUCCACUGAAACUUAUAUUUCUGAUUUUUAGUACAUAAAAAUUUUUAUUUUAAUUUUCAUUUGUAUAAUUUAUUUAAUUAAUAAUAAAUAUGAAUAAAAGUGUAUUUAAAAAUAAGACCAAUAUUAUAAAAUUAUAAUGCCAAAUGAUUUAUUAACUAUUAUGAAAACAGGAAGAAAAUAAAUAGUAUAUAUUGAUUUCAGUAGUGGGGGAAAUUGAUAAUAUCCAGAUUUACAACAUUGAAGUUCAAUUUCUCAUAUCUAUUGUAAGGCCAGCCCCAAUAGCUUUCCUUUGUGAAUAAUAUGAAAUUGCCUUAUGUUUGGGCAGUUGUCUGUCCAUAUGUAAAGAAAAGCAAAGGCAUUAAUUCAUUUAAGAUUUGGAGAUUCCUCUUUAGACUACAAUUGUCACACAUAGCUGUCCGCUGCAUAAUAUAAUCAAGCAAAGUUAGAGUUUAACUUUUAGUUCUCGAUAUUACUUAACUAAAAUCUAUAAUCCAGAGAACAAAAAGAAAAAAAUAAAUAAAUAAAUAAAGGGAAAGGGAAAGGGCAAAAAAAAAAAAAGUUGAGUUGGCUUAAUGUUAAGGCCAUGUUUGCUUGAAUUUCAAGCAUCUAGAGAAUUAUUCUUUAAAAUGAAUAUAUUCCUUUUGAUGGGGAAUUUGCGGGUCCCAUCUUUAUGUUCCAUUUAGAAUACUUUACAAAGCCUCUCUCUUUUCUAUCUGGUUUCUCACUUUCCUAAUGGGAAUUGAUUGUGUGCUGCGUUAUCCAUUUCCCGUACUUAAUGGUCUGCAACGGAAAUCCUCAAAUCACAUUACAUGAUCUCGGUGAUUGAUAUUUUCUUGACCUUAAAGUAGAACCAUAGAAAUUGAUUCAUGCAAUAAGAUGCAAGUUAGCUUGCAGGUGAAGGCAUUGAAGGGCAACUUUUGAGUGCAUAGUAUACAAUUUGUGGUGAAAAUUAAGUUACAAUAUUUUUGUGUGUAUUCAAUUGUUAUGUUGCAGAAAGAAUCUAUUACCAAAUGAUGUGACUUUUCAUACCUCUAUUAAAUUAACAUAGAUAGAUAUUUAUAUUAUAUUAAUCUACAUGAUAUGCUCAAAGUUUGUCGAAAUAUGUAGUAAGACUCGGACGAUUCAGGAAAUGAACACAAAAAACUCUUGCUCCUCAAAUUUUCGGGUCAUUCAGGGACAUCGAAUCUAAUGUUUUAUUUAGUAUCAACCAUAACAGCUCAAACAAGAACUGUGUGUUCUCACUCCUCGAAACAUUCGGGGUUUGUUUGUACAUAUUAGAACAAUCCAUGGAGAUUUGGAUGUCCUAUUCUUCUCUGGUAACAUUUUAAAAGAGAAGGAAUUGGUAUUGGUUCUGGACUCUCUUUUUAACUGAAAUGUGGGACUCCAAUUUUGUUAAGGUUGGCUGGAUAGUCCUGAAUCAUAUCAUGAAAUGAGCUAGCGGCCCAGGCUCUUCCCUAUCAUAUGAUCUGAUUUGCAAUGAGUCUGGUUUCUUGAGUUCAUCAAGUUACCAUCAUCGCAAAAUAUACGUACCAAACAGUUUAUACUGUGUUGUCACAAACACAAGCGAUUCCACCAACAAAACCUUUACAAAUUGUUAUGCAAAGAGAGUACUGAAGCAACACUGUUACAGAAAGAUGGGGGGGUAUAAAUACCAUGGAAUCUUGAUUCAUAUCUGAUCAAGAGAAACAUAACCCCGCGGAAAUGUAAUGAUACCAAAAGAAGAAAAGUUCUUUCCCAUUAGGUUUUGGGUGUUGACGGCAAAAUCUUUAUGACACCAGACAUUCAAGUUCCAUUUUGCAAACUUAUUUAUGUACAUGGGGUAUCAAUAGCAAACCACCUAUGGCUCACUACUAGACAUUCAAGUUCCAUUUUGCAAACUUAUUUAUGUACAUGGGGUAUCAAUAGCAAACCAACUAUGGCUCACUACUACCUCCACAUCAAACGCUUGAGGCUCACACUAUUCCAAUCCGUCUUCAAAAUACAGUUCAAAGGCAGUACUAAAGGCUCCUUCCUUCUGCAUAAAAUAAAUCAUUUAACUUUAAAAACAAAUGUUGUCAAAUAAAAGUCAACUAAGUGGAGCUACAAGAUCCAAACCUUCUCCAUAAGCCCGGUAACAUACAGGUACAAAACUGGCCCAUCAUUUUCUGUUCAUGUCUCCCAAGCACACAUAUUUUAUCUGCAUAUAAUGAAAGGAUGCUUCAAUACGAUCACCACAGAAAAGUAAAACCCAAAUUUCUUGACGAUUCUUUCAGGUCCUUGGUGUUAUGCAAAAUAAAAUAAAUAGUACACAAAGAAAAAAAAUCAAACAACUCAUAUAAAUCAUUCUAAAAAAUGGUAGUUGUGGCUCCAUUACAGUAGCAAGUCAUUCAGAUUUGUGGCAUCAGUGAUGAAUAAAUGUAAUUCCUACAGAUGAACCAAGUCAAAUGCAAUCCACUAACUCAAUAAAAUCCCCAGAAAAUACGGGGAAAGUUGAUUACGUCAUUUUAACUUCCCUAAAAUUUUUAAAAAUUUAUAUAAAACGGUAUUUUCAUUUUACUUACUUCCAGGAAUUCAUCCAUCCCAUACUUUGAACCUUCCCGUCCAAGACCAGAUUGUUUAACACCACCAAAAGGAGCCACCUACAAUGAAACAAACAAGUAAUAAGCAAUCUGCAAGUUUCUUUUAUUGUUUAUGCAUCGGUGAAACCAAAUAAGGCCAACCUCUGUUGAAAUUAAUCCUUCAUUAACACCAACGAGUCCAUAUUCUAGAGCUUCAGAGACACGCCAUGUACGUUGAAGAUUGUUUGUAAAUAUAUAAGCAGCUAACCCUGAAUAUUACACAUUGAAGAGGAAAAUAUGUUGCUAAUCAUUCAAAAUGUGAAUUCGUUAAGGUUACCAAUCAACUGCGAUUGCAGAAUUAGGUAGGCAACACGUUAUGCUUUCUUUAGUAAAUUUGAGAAAUCAGAUUUGACAAAAGAACCUGCAUUGGUAUCAUUGGCCAUAUGGAUAGCUUCCUCCUCAGUUUUGAAGCAUAGAAGUGGGGCCACAGGUCCGAAUACUUCCUCUCUGAGGUAACAAUAUAUGUCGUAAGACACAAACCAAAUUGCUAGAUCUAAUCAAACUUUUGCAGACUGACAUAUUUACGUGAUAACAUCUAUAAAUGGAGAGAAGUGAUUUAAAUAACUCUAGCUAUUCCAACUACUCUAAAGAAAAAAAAGGAAAGGAUUCAAUAAUUAUUAUCUGCCCAAUAAGAAAUUCAAAUACAAAUUGGUUUCUUCUCUUGGAAAUUCAGGAAUGAUCAUAAAAGAAAUUUCUAGAUAGAAGAACAGGGAAAAUUUUAGAGAGAGAGGUGUUUGUCUCUCAGUGAUAGUUUGUUGUUUCUUAGUCCAUUACGUUGGUUCUAGAAUAAAUAUCAAACUAAUUAACUAUUAUUCCCUCAGCAUUUGCCAAGAACAUUAGAAAUACCCUAAUCUGAGAUUCAUUGCAGUAAAGGAUAAUUACCCAAACAAAUAUUAAUAUUGAUAAUAUCAACUUAAUUGUAGCUUAUCAUGCAAGGCUUACCUCGAAACAAGCAUCUCACUCUUGACAUUGCUAAGGACUGUAGGCUCAUAAAAUGUCAUUCCAAGGCUAUGUCUUCUACCCCCAAGAAGGACUUUUGCUCCCUUCAAAUAAAAUUAAGGUCAAUCAAAUGUUUUACUGAAAGCACUACAGUAAAAAUUUCCCAUACCAAUAAAUAAUAGUUCCUAGCUAGGCAGGAAGAGAAAAUAGAACAUAGCAAUGCAAUGCUAAUUGAAACCGACAUGUACAGCAAUCCAGACUAUUCAUUGCUUUUGUUCUUGGUGAACAGUAACACAAUACAGGAUAAACCAAUAAAUAUAACAUAUUGAUACUGUCCAAGGUCCUUUCAGGAAAAAGGUGGGCCAACAGGUCAUGUCUCUUCUUAAUGAUGUAAAAUAUGCAAGAUCUUCCAUGUAAAUUGCCAGCAGGCCACAUGUCCGACCUUUUUAGUUCAUCAUAUGAACUACCAAAACAAACAGCAGUACUCCUAGAUUAUAACUUAAAGAGGAAAACGAAAUACACAAAACAAUCAACGUUACACAAAAAGAACAUUACUCUGGACAAUUUUCAAGAUGGUACUACUUCAGAAGAAAUAACAGUUCUUGGCACCAAAAUAAACACUACUAUAUCCAAUAAAAUAGGAGAGGAAACAAACCUUGGAAACAGCAUCUUCCACAAAAGUUUCAACCUGUCAAAGUUCCAGAGCAACCAAAUGGAGCAGAAAUCUAUUUAUCAAAGACUGGAAGCAGACACAGAUACAGCAGUAGCUGGUAACUUAAAAAUUCCAAGAGUAUAUCUGACCUUUUCCAAUGCAGCUUUAUUAAUUAGUGGACCCUGUGUAGAAAUCAAAAGUUAAACAUAUGAUCCGAUGAAGUUCAAAGUCAUAAUGAAAGGAAAAAAAUAACAAGCUUACAUAAAACUGCAUAAAGAAUUUCAUAUAUCUACAAAUUUAGUAAUGCGAGUUAAUCCAAGGCCAAACAUAUACUCAUGGAAAAAGAAACAUACAAAUGGAUUACUAUUUCAAGCAAAUUCAUUGUAAUAGGAUCAUUAAUAAGUUGCACGCACAUUUCAUCAAUGGAUAAGUGGCAUUAUCCAUAUAUCUGUACCAGAUGUCAAAAAGUAGAAUAACAUCAAACAGAUGAGAAGAUCAAUGAUGCAACCACAACAUUCAUUUCAGUGAAAAAGUAAAGGAUGAAUACCUGGACUACACCUUCGCCAAAGCCAUCCCCCACCUUCAGGUUCUUGACGGCUUUUGAAAAAGCAUCUGCAAAUUUCUCAUAAAUGCCUGCACAAAAUGCCUGCGUAAAUUUACACAAGAAAGCGACCAGAUAAUACAUUUUAAAACCAAUAACAAAAAUAUUUUCACAUUGAGGAGAAAAAUGAAACCGAGAACAUAACUAUAUUAUUAAGAAAAAAAAUCGUUAAUCCAUAAUCCAUCUUUAACAUAUGUCCACAUAUACCUUCUUGAACAAGUACUCUGUUUGCACAUACACAGGUCUGCCCACUGUUACGAAACUUUGCCGCAAGCUGCAUAAAUGAAUUUGAUUAGCAUUACCAUGGGGAGAACACUUCCCAAUAAUUAAGAAUGCAAAAAAAAGUAAGGUUUCUGCCAACUAGGUUUAGGUAUUUACAAAAUAAGUAAUAGUGAGCUCUGCUAAAAUAGAAUAUUGGUUUAUACUAAAGAAAUACAGCUACUAACCACAAGAUAUGGAAACUAGUUAAAUGGAAUCUAAAUUCUAGUAGCUAAUCAUUGUAGAAUGAUAGAUCUGUAAACUCAAAAUUAUCAAAGUGAAUGUAUCAGUUUAUUGUUCAAACCAUUUGAAAAGACCUUGACCAGCACAAAUGUAAAUAAUGUCAUUCUAUUUCUAAAACUGAUGCCCGUAACAUAGAAAAAAGUAAAAUACAUAACCCUGACUAGAGUACUAGACUUUUGAGCAUAAUAUGUGUCCUCGUGGGGUAUUUAUCAUUUAAUUGCAUACUUAGUGUUGCAGUACAACUCCUAAGGCAGAAUAAAAAAAAAGUGACAAAGUUUAUCAUUUAAAUGAAUACUUUUGAAACAAAAAUUGAGGGAACAAGAAUAUUAAAUGUUGUCAUUUUUUAUCAGGGUCUGAUUUAGUUGUCCUCCAUUGACAAACGGAUCUAGCAUGAGAGCAAACUAUUAAAAUAAGUAUGCUUAGAGAAUCACUUUUCUUUUGCUUUGCAUAAGAAACUUAUAGACAAUCCAACUCACCGCUCCAUUGACUGCCACAUUCAGGUCUGCAUCAUCAAAGACUAUGCAGGGUGCAUUGCCACCAAGCUCUAAAGAUACCUAAAGGAGACAAGUUAAGAGCAUCAAGCUAAUAUGGUGAUAUCUAAAGCCUCCUCGCUUAGGGUUACACAUUACUGUCAUACCCUACACACCUUUUUAACAGUCCCUGCAGCUCCCGCCAUCAGUUUCUUUCCAACAGCCGUUGAGCCAGUAAAUGUAAUCUUCCUCACCUGAAUAAGUUAUUCAAAGCUACUCAAAGUUUCUACAAUUUGUAUAUCUGACAAUCACCCAUGAGAUUAACAAAAGGUCACUUAAUAAAAAGUUUGGGAGAUAUCUUAAGAAAGUAAAACCUGUGGGCUCGUGAGCAAAGCAUCACCAAUAUCAGGAGCAUUCCCCAUAACCACAUUCACAACACCCUGAAAAAGUACAAAAAUAAGAAUAAUCAAAUUAAUGACAAAACAGAAAUUUCAAUUAAAAAUUACUACUUUUAGUCAAGUCAAUAGUCCCCAACUCAAGAAGGUCCAGCUGAGAGUACUAAUUCCCCUAUACAUCAAUGCAUUUCAGUGUACAGCAAUGGUUUAGCUUACAAGAGCCAAAUGAACAGCAAACUUCCAAAAUUCUCUUUAAGAAUUACCGGUGGGAUUCCAGCCUGCAAGGCGAGCUCAGCUGCUGCUAAAGCACUGAGAGGUGUAAAUUCAGAGGGUUUUAGAACCACUGUACAACCACAAGCAAGGGCCGGACCAACCUGUUAAAAAUAUCAAUACAAACACUCAACUUAUAUGAUAAAAGGCUGGCUGCUUUUAAAACAGUUAUACAUGUGUGUGCAAACUAUUUAAAAAAAAAAAAAUUCUGAGACAAUAACUUAAAAUUGCACAAGUGGAAACACCUUUCGGGUAAUCAUAGCCAAGGGAAAGUUCCACGGUGUAAUUGCACCAGCAACACCUACAGGCUGCGCAUAAAAACAAUGAAAAGUAGAUUAUAUAAGAAGAUCACACAAUGUCUAACAAAGAGUAUGAAAAAGUUUAAUAUCAAGAAUUGCCCAUCUAAAAGCAAAUACAAAAACAUAAGAAAUCAAAUAUCAGCUUUCCAGUUUCCAGAUCCUCAAGCAAGAUAAAGCAGAUGAAAGAUUGCAAAAACUAUUUAAAAAGGAGACAAAAAUAACAUCUUCCAAAGAAGGAGAAUUAAUUCUUUAAAGGCGGUUUAAAACCUAUAUGGUUCAAUUCAAGCUUAUUGCCAAUAAUUACUUCAAUAAAUCCGAAAAAGUUGGAUGUUGGAAGGAUUUGUGUCACACGAUGACUGACUUCCCUAACCGCUUAUGAUAUCCUAGCACUUAGAAGGUUUAAAGUGCAUGCUAUUCCUCACAUGAUUUUUGAGGAAGAUUGAGUCGACAAAAGUCAACCUGAUGGAAAGCUGCGUCAACAGCCCUUGGAUAGAGUAUUUCUGUUAUCAUCUUGUGCUAAUGGAUUCUCAAAUCAUAGAAUAGAGAAGCAGAUUGUUUGAUUAAAGGUGUGGUUGAAUUGAAAUUCCACAUGACACUAAUAUUUUGAGUGGAAGUAAACAAAAAUUUAUCAAAAGAAUUAAUUCACUGAUACGUGGUAAUGAUAUAGGACUUGAAAACAAAAGGCCACCUGCUUUAGAACAAAUAUCCGGCGAUCAGGCAGAGUUGCUGGAAUUAUAUCACCAUAUACACGUUUCGCCUCCUCUGCAUAGAACUCAAUAAACUUGGCUCCAUAGUCAACCUGUAUGUUAAAUCCAAAAAUGUAAACAUUGAAAAUAAUAAAAAAUCAACAACAAAACAAAAAUAUGUGGGGUAUACCGAUUACUUAAAUUCCUAAAGGCAAACUUUUAAUGGUUUACCUCUCCGACAGCUUCUUUAAGAGGUUUCCCCUGCUCCAAUGUUAUUAGUUGGCCAAGCUCUUCUUUGUGAGCCAUCAGUAGAUCAUACCUUAGAAUAGAUAUAAAGAAAAAUUAUAUCAAGGUCUAUGUGAGAGAACAGAAUCUCCCAGCACCAGAACCAAUUGUAUGCCAUGUUAUAAUUAGGCACAUAAUUAAACUUCAACGGAAACUUUAAUCAAAGCAAGUCAACAAUGCUUUUGGUAUGAAUAAUAAGCAUCUUAUUAAAAGGAAAAAAAAAAAGCUUUCAGGAUAAAUUGCCAAAAAAUCAUCAACGGAAAAGAGUCACCUUAAAAGCACAAUAAUAAGUUUUCCAAAGUCUUUGAGCAAAAAUACAUAAAGAAGCAUUCAAAUGUGAAAUUCUGUGAAAUUUUCUCUCUUCAUGUUCUGGAAAUUAACACACCCACACAUAUUACACAAAACUCUAUAAAUACUAAGCAUGCUCUGGUCUGCACCCACUUUUUAAGAUCAUUCUAGAUAUUCUAUCAAAGCAGAUGGUCAAGGAUAUAGGUUAUACCAUUUCCGCAAACCCUUGCUUCUCUCAGCAGCAGUAAGCUUGCUCCAAGCUACACAGAUAAUAGGCCAAAAUUAAGCAACACACUAAUUACUAAUCACAUAAAUAUCCCAGAUCCCAGAUACUAUAAACCAAAAAUAAGCCCCCUAGCUAAUUUGGUUAUGAAUAUCCUUCAGCACCAAGGUUAGCAAAUAAAGAGCUUAGCAUUCUAAGCAAGACUAACAGCAUCAAGUGGAUUCAGAAAAAAAUUGAUUGGCGUUCCGUCAAUGCUCCUAAAUAUUUGCUUCUAACGAGUGUUAUCCAGUAACCUUCAGUAGUAGGUUCCAAGUUGCAAUACCAAUCCUCUCUAGAAGGAAAAAAGCACACUUCAUUUUACAGAUGACUUAUCAUUGAGAAUGAAUGGACAUCUGCUUUAUAUUUUUCUUUAACAAAGAAGUAUCAUGCAAUAGAUAUGAAUCAAGAAAGACAUUACUUCAGGAACCACCGAGGUACUACAGGUACAAAAAUCAAAUAGAGUCAAGUUGUAAAUUUCAAAGUUCCAAUGGCAUUUUUUGGUAAUAUUAAAGCAUUACAAGCAUUGAUGGUUUAGUUUGUCAAAAAUAGGCUAAAUGCUGCGAAAGAGUAAAUCAUAUACGCACAGAUGUUCAGUCACAAGUUCUUACAAUUAAACGCAUCAAAAGCCGAAGAUAUAGCAUCUUUUGUUUCCUUUCCUCCCAUACACGAUACAUUUGCUAUCACUUCGCCAGUUGCUGGAUUGUGGACCUGUCAUAAAAUGAAAUACAUUUAAUUGACGUUAUAAAAACACACACUAUGGAACCAAUAUACUUGCAUAAUACGGCAUCUACUAAGUCUUUUGUGUUUUCCAAAAAGUUCUGACAUGGAGGACUCCAAGUAGUCAAAGAUUCAACCCAAUAUAGUUGCAAAUUAAGAAGAACAUUGUAGAAGAAAAUAAAUUAUUUUUCUCCAAACCUCCAGAGUCUUCCCAUCAUAUGCAUCAAUCCAUUUCCCUCCAAUAAGACCCUGAGUCCGUAAAAGGCCAGAAUCACGAAGCCGGUCAGUAACGCUCUUCAUCCCCACACUCAUCUGGCAUACAAUUCCCUUGUUUAGAAAUUUCACAAACCUUUCCUUUCAGCUAUACAUUGAAAAAAAUUUCCCAAAGUGCAGAAUUGGAACACUAAAGAAACUGAAAAGCUAGCACCGUUAAACAACAUAUAUUACAUCUUAAAUGACAUUAAGAGAACAAAAGACCUUUGAUUCAAAGAGACUGAAAAAUUCAUAACAACCCAAGACAGCUCUACGAAAGAAAAACAUGUAAUGUCAUAGCUGCAUUCAGUCAAUCGAUCAUACACAACAUCAUCUCAAUUAUGAAAAAAAAAAACACGAAAUCAAGCAGCUGAGUAAACACUAUCCCAAAAUGAUCAGUUGAUCACCCUCAGAUUAACCAAAUAUUUCAAUAAAACUGAGUUUUGAACAUUCAUAUGGAUAGAACAGUACCCAGAACGCAUAACAAACUUUCUCAGAUACAAAAAGAGUAGCAAGGCUGAUCGGUUAGUAUAUAAUUUUGAAAAAAAAAAAAAAAAGGCCAAGUCAAGUGCUUGCCUGGCGAGAGAAAGCAGGAGUGUAGCUCUGCAUGCUUGGCAAAUGUGAUGCGAAAAUCCUGCGAGAGCCCACAAAUGCCACACGUGCCACUCCACUCAACGUCAUCUUCGUCCUUUGUUUGGUGUACUACUCUUUUAUUACUGUUUCGCGUGAUGACAACUGAACUGAAAUGAAAGAUUCGAUUUGGGAUCUUUGAUCCCAAAAGUUGCAGGAUUUUUGUUUGUAAAUACGACCCGCAUUCAGCAAGUUCACUAUUUUUUAUCAUCGAUUCACUAUCUACUGACGUGUGAUAUCGAUAAGCGUUACGUCAUUAUUAUUUACUGGGAUUAAAAAAUAAAAAUGUAUUAUUAUUAUUACAUAUUUGAGCUUGUUUAUGUCGAAUUGGACCUUGGGCCCAGUGACGAAAGCACAAAGUUUGGGUUCGGAUCCAAGUUGAUUUGUCGAUGAGUAGGCCUCAGGCCUAGUUGAAAAAUGGAACGAAGGCCCCAUGACUUUAGUCCCACGGUGGCUGAAUGGGCCAGUUGGGUAAGAGAUUUUGGAUGAUGAGGAUAACAUUAUUAUUGUUUAUAAUUAAUUAUGACAAUAUUAUCAUUGUAACAGUGGUGACGAGUGAAUUUUUUUUUUUUUUAAACACGCGAUAUGAAAAUGAAAUGAUUCUUUUAGUACAAUUCUAUUAAAAUCUUCCUCGUAAUAUUCUUUAUAAAAUGAGAAAGUUUUAAAUUAAUACGAAACAAAACUUUUAGUAGAGAAGAUAUUUUUUUGUAGAUUAAGGUUCUCUCAUGAUCUGAUUUCUUUUUAAAUAAAAAUACACAUAAAUAAUUAGUAGUUAAUAAAUAAAGAAAAUAAAAAAGUUAAAUAAAAUUGAUACACUAUCACUUAAAUACACAUGCCACAAGAUUAUUAAAAGCUCAUGAGAACUCAGAUUAAGAGAGGAUCUUUAUUUAUUUCUUGCGUGCAAAUAUUUAUUUUCUCCCAUACUAAUAAAGAUUUAAUGGUAUAUUUAAUUAUGUUGUAAUGAAUUUUCUAUAAAUCAAUUUAAAGGUGAAACCAAUCUGCUGGAAUAAAAAUUAUAUUUGCUUGUUUGAGUUAAAAAAAAAAAGGGGGGGUAGGGGGGAUUCCAAAAAUGCAAGCACAUCGCAUUGAAUUUUCAAAUAAUGUCACCCGACCCAACUUAUCCUAAUACAUCAACAACCGGUUCAAAAAAUGUGUCCUUUAAAUUAUUCAAUGCAUAUUCCAAAUCCAACAAAAAUUAAAAUAUAAAUAAAAAAAGGAGGGCUAGUAGUGUUAUGUUAUAUAUAUUUUUAAAUAAAUAAUUGGGAUACUAAUUCAAUUUAUUUAAUUAAAAAAGAAAAGAAAGAGAAAAAACCAAGUCCAGGCGUGUUCUUUUUCGCUUAUUGUUGUACAUCUCUGACCAAUUUUCUUUUUCUUUCUUCUAGACUCGUAGUUGUAGAGCUGGCUCAGGCUUUGGAGUGGAGAUGCAGAAACUUCUGCUUCCUAUCGUCUUCGUUUUCAAAGUCAAAACAAGAGCAAACCAAAUCAAACCGGAGCAUCAUAUUUAAAUUGAAAUUAUAUAUAUAUAUAUAUAUAUAUAUAUAAAAAAAACUCAUAAGCCAACUUUCUUGUACUGCU